CUCUUUGAACAUGGCCGUUCCUUCAUUCCUGAAUGGAGGCACACCAGUGACCAUUCCAGGGUUGUCUCAGAGUCUCUGGUAAUGGGUGGAAUUUAUUGGACCUUCGGUCUAAAGACAAAGUUCCAGACUGAGAAAAGUGAAAGAAUUGGGGAAAGCAGAAAUAAAGCCACAGAUGUGUCCGAUGGCCCGUUGGUUGGAAAGUAAAGACGAGAGAUGCCACGAGUGACUGGCAUGAUUCAGAAUGGUCAGAUUUACAUUACGUCAAGUGCCAAUUAUCAGUAGGAACGGAGUAAAGAGAUCAGAUAAAUGGAUUCAGCAGUGGAGUGCUCCCUGAGUGCCUGUGCAUUUGAGUUUGAUGCACUUGGAUGGUGCACAUCAAGAAAACAAAACAAGUUCUGACGUCAAAAUUUAAUCCUUUGGAAAAUUAAUGCUAUUCAACAAAGCUGAUGACUGCACUUACCUCAAUAGACAAUUUUGAAUUUCUAUAUCAAUGCCAUACCUGACGUGAAUACUACUGCUAGAGUCUCAGUGUCAACCCACUUAUUACUAAUCAAUGCAAGCUGCACUUAGGCGACUAGCAACAUAUAGAUUCGUUCAGAAGUAGAGAAACAGUGAACAACUUUGUUUUGAACACUAUCCAAAUAAAAACAUCCAUAGAUGAUUACAAUCACAAGCAUACAUGUGUGCAAGGAGAAUGGAGACAAGAAUGCAGAAUGUAGUGUUACAGCUACAGAGAAAAUGCAGAUAAAAAAGGUGCAAGGAUUGCAACAAAUUAGAUUGAGGGGCAGAGGUGAGUGUCAGGAAUACAUCCCUUGCCUUGUGAGAGGUCUGUUCAAGAGUCUGACACAUUAGAAAAGAAGCAGUCCUUGAAUCUUCACCGAAGAAAGAUCCUGAUCCACAGUGGACACCAUCUAAUGAACAAUGGAGUCAACUGUUUCCGUCCUUGGUGACACAGAAAAGAUAAUUAUUGCCUCUUUUGUGUCAUUCCUUGAACCUGCCUCUUUGAAGUAUUCUCAAGGUGCAGGUUGAGAAGCAGGAGAAUCCAUUGUUCAUUGAAUGAGGACUUCUUUAGAUUGUACAGAAUGGCACAGAAUUAUAUGUAUUGUGAUUCCCCAGCAAUGAAAACAAACUACUUAACAAUAGUAAUAAAAAAACAGAAUGAGACUGGAAGAGUUCAAUAAAUUGUGCGUCAUUUGUGGAGAGGAACAGAACAAAUGUUUCAGUCGAAUGAGUGAUCAAUAAUUUGAUUUGUGUCUCAAUCAUAAUGUGAGAGUACAAGGUGAGACUGGUCCAUUCAAAGUCAAUAAAUUGUCUGUGCUGUGCUUAUCCUGAUUUACUAAGAAUGGACUUUCAAGUACAGCAAUCAGGAGCAGGAGAUCCAAUUAAUCUCUUGAUGCAGGACACUAAGGUCAAUCUGUGCCAUUGGUGACUCUGGAGAAUGAAACUUGCAACUUCCGAUAUUAAUGUAAUCCAUGGCAAAGCAGGAUGGAAAUCAGUCAAGAAAGGAUUAGUUUAAUAUGCAAGUCUAAAUAGCCUCAAACCACAAUUGGCAGAAAUAUUGGUGAGAUGAGCAACAAGAGCUCCAGUAGCAACUACCAUUUUCUCUGCAGGAGCUCACCCACUCUUCUGAGCUCUAUCAACACUGCUCUGCCAGAAGACCAGUCUGCUGGGUUACUUCUGGGAUACCACCAGGGGCGCCGCAUGAUUGGCAGCCCCGCCAACAGUCUGUUUGUUUUUUUGUUUUUUAUAUUAUAUUUAGUGUGUGUUAAAAGU
Molecule: long non-coding RNA, 1773 nt
Organism: Amblyraja radiata (thorny skate)
Lineage: Eukaryota; Metazoa; Chordata; Chondrichthyes; Rajiformes; Rajidae
Exons: 4
Source: RefSeq, a predicted model, not a curated record